CAAUCACAUCAUUGACAUGAAGCCGAAGUCAUUCAUUCAUUCCUAAAACACGAGCAGAUGUUUAAAACGUGUUUGGUUAAGUUUGCAUAUAGUGUGUUGUAAUGUCCCGGUCUAGAUUAAUGGUAAUUAUAAUUAGAGUGAUGUCAGAUUGUCCUAUUAAAACAGCAACAGCUUUUAAACAGCAAGGCAUUCGGUGAAACGACAUGGUUUGCUAAUUUUCUUCCUAAAAGCUUCUGGCAUCUGCUUGUGGAGUCAAACAGUGUUUUCGUGGCUGUGCGCUACGUGAUUCUGCUUUUGUGGCAAAGAAGCCAGGAUGCAGGAGUCUGCGAAUAAACGCUGAGGCAUGCUGGGGCCGCUGCCACACCUGGGAGAGGCCAGUUCCGGAGCCGCCAUAUAUCCAGAGGCACCACCGUGUCUGUACCUACAGCCCUACACGGCACCUGACAGCACGUUUACCAGGUUGUCGCCCUGGUGUCUCCCCAAUCUAUUAUUACCCUCAGGCCUUACAGUGUGACUGUACCUACUGCUCCUCAAACCACACAGAGUGUGAAACCUUUUAAGGGCACAUACACACAACUCAUUCGUACACAUUCUCUUCUUAGCUUAUUAUGUAAAAAAAUGAUGAAUAUUGUUAUGCAUUAGAUGUCAUAUACUUAAACAUGAUUUAACAAUAAAACAU
Molecule: long non-coding RNA, 679 nt
Organism: Sinocyclocheilus rhinocerous
Lineage: Eukaryota; Metazoa; Chordata; Actinopteri; Cypriniformes; Cyprinidae
Exons: 3
Source: RefSeq, a predicted model, not a curated record